AGCUCCAAUAGCGUAUAUUAAAGUUGUUGCAGUUAGAACGCUCGUAGUCGGAUUUCGGGGCGGGUCGACCGGUCUGCCGAUGGGUACGCACUGGCCGACGCGUCCUUCCUUCCGGAGACCGUCUCACUCUUAACUGAGCGGAGGCGGGAGACGGAACGUUUACUUUGAAAAAAUCAGAGUGUUUCAAGCAGGCAGCUCGCUCUUGCAUGGAUUAGCAUGGGAUAAUGAAAUAGGACUUUGGUGCUAUUUUGUUGGUUUCGAACACCGAAGUAAUGAUGAGCAGGGACAGUCAGGGGCACUCGUAUUCCGCCGAGAGAGGUGAAAUUCUCAGACCAGCGGAAGACGAACUACUGCGAAAGCAUUUGCCAGGGAUGUUUUCACUG
RNAcentral lists this ribosomal RNA (383 nucleotides) under Haptophyta sp. Its description in RNAcentral is "SSU rRNA". It matches the Rfam family "Eukaryotic small subunit ribosomal RNA", at positions 587 to 975 of the family's 1831-position model. Lineage: Eukaryota; Haptophyta. The record is from RNAcentral.